RNAcentral lists this ribosomal RNA (117 nucleotides) under Pteropus alecto (black flying fox). Lineage: Eukaryota; Metazoa; Chordata; Mammalia; Chiroptera; Pteropodidae. The record is from RNAcentral.
GUCUAUGGCCAUGCCACCCUGAACAAGCCCUAUCUCGUCUGAUCUCGGAAGCUAAGCAGGGUUGGGCCUGGUUAGUACUUGGAUGGGAGACCACCUAAGAACCAGAUACUGUAGGUG